RNAcentral lists this small nuclear RNA (149 nucleotides) under Nannospalax galili (Upper Galilee mountains blind mole rat). RNAcentral describes it as "U1 spliceosomal RNA (ENSNGAG00000004687.1)". It matches the Rfam family "U1 spliceosomal RNA". Rfam says of the family: U1 is a small nuclear RNA (snRNA) component of the spliceosome (involved in pre-mRNA splicing). Lineage: Eukaryota; Metazoa; Chordata; Mammalia; Rodentia; Spalacidae. The record is from Rfam by way of RNAcentral.
ACAUUUACCUGGCAGGGGAGAUACCAUGAUCACAAAGGUGGUUUUCCCAAUUACGCUCCAGAUGUGCUGAUCCCUGCAGUUUCCCCAAAUGCGGGAAACUUGACUGCAUAAUUUUUCAUAGUGGCAGACUGUGUUCUCACCCCCUCCCA